GUAGGUGGCAAGCGUUGUCCGGAAUUAUUGGGCGUAAAGCGCGCGCAGGCGGUCCUUUAAGUCUGAUGUGAAAGCCCACGGCUCAACCGUGGAGGGUCAUUGGAAACUGGGGGACUUGAGUACAGAAGAGGAAAGCGGAAUUCCAAGUGUAGCGGUGAAAUGCGUAGAGAUUUGGAGGAACACCAGUGGCGAAGGCGGCUUUCUGGUCUGCAACUGACGCUGAGGCGCGAAAGCGUGGGGAGCAAACAGGGAUUAGAUACCCUGGUAGUCCACGCCGUAAACGAUGAGUGCUAAGUGUUAGGGGGUUUCCGCCCCCUUAGUGCUGCAGCUAACGCAUUAAGCACUCCGCCUGGGGAGUACGGCCGCAAGGCUG
Molecule: ribosomal RNA, 373 nt
Filed under: uncultured organism
Description: partial 16S ribosomal RNA
Rfam family: Bacterial small subunit ribosomal RNA
Source: RNAcentral